Molecule: ribosomal RNA, 458 nt
Filed under: Clostridioides difficile
Lineage: Bacteria; Bacillati; Bacillota; Clostridia; Peptostreptococcales; Peptostreptococcaceae
Description: bacterial LSU rRNA
Rfam family: Bacterial large subunit ribosomal RNA
Source: RNAcentral
GAUGGGGAGCGAAAUUUAGUAGCGAAGUAGCUGAUUUCACACUGUCAAGAAAAGUCUCUAUCGAGGUUAAAGGUACCCGUACCGCAAACCGACACAGGUGGGUGAGGAGAGUAUCCUAAGGCCAGCGAGAGAACUGUUGUUAAGGAACUCGGCAAAAUGACCCCGUAACUUAGGGAUAAGGGGUGCCACCAUCAGGUGGCCGCAGAGAAUAGGCCCAAGCGACUGUUUACCAAAAACAUAGGUUUCUGCUAAGUCGCAAGACGAUGUAUAGGAGCUGACGCCUGCCCGGGGCUGGAAGGUUAAGGGGAUCUGUUAGAGCAAUCGAAGCAGGGAACUUAAGCCCCAGUAAACGGCGGCCGUAACUAUAACGGUCCUAAGGUAGCGAAAUUCCUUGUCGGGUAAGUUCCGACCCGAACGAAAGGCGUAACGAUUUGGGCACUGUCUCAACAACAGACUCG